UACGUAGGUGGCGAGCGUUGUCCGGAAUUACUGGGUGUAAAGGGUGUGUAGGCGGGCUGAGAAGUCAGAUGUCAAAACUAUGGGCUUAACCCAUAAGCGCAUCAGAAACUCUCGGUCUUGAGUGUGGGAGAGGUAAGCGGAAUUCCCAGUGUAGCGGUAAAAUGCGUAGAUAUUGGGAGGAACACCAGUGGCGAAGGCGGCUUACUGGACCACAACUGACGCUGAGACACGAAAGCGUGGGGAGCAAACAGG
Molecule: ribosomal RNA, 252 nt
Filed under: uncultured bacterium
Lineage: Bacteria
Description: partial 16S ribosomal RNA
Rfam family: Bacterial small subunit ribosomal RNA
Source: RNAcentral